AUCGAUUUCAUGAGACGUAAGUUUUUAUUAAAUUGUUUAGAUUUUUUUCAAUAUGCAUUCAAAUAUUUAUUCAUGUUUAUUUUGUGCUGCAAAUAGGCUAUUAAAGAUGAAAAGAUCAUUGAUUCACAUGCCGUUUGAACGGAGGCGAAUAUAGUUGUCACACUACAAAUUAAAGAGCAUAAAAACAUUUAUUUUUUGUAUUUUAUCAUAAAAUUGACAGAAUUUAUAGGCUGAGACUUUGUGUCAUAUUAAAAGUUACAAAGCACAAAGCUUAUUGCGAUUAUUGGGUGGCUUGCCUGCUACAAAUAAUGAAUGUACUUGAAAAUGUUAAAUAUUAUUCCAAGCAUUUAUACCAUAAAUAAAACACCUUGUGUAAGGUUAUUUACUUCAGAAAAAUCAACAAUAAGUUAAGUUAACCGAGUUGGAGCAAGGGGUGUAUAAAUAUUUUGCAUAUGGGCCCGGGGCUGACUUGCUACGCCACUGAUGUACAGCAUUACAAUUCGUUACUUCUUUAAGCACUUGAGCACCUUUAUGACUGAGCUGCCUCUUACAGUUCCAUAUCUACCUGAUCCCAUGUAAUGGAAUUACAAUGGAAUUUACUGAUAAGCACAGAAAACUGUAGGACAGAUAAUUUAGGAAAAAUUUGUUGUGCAUAGGGCUUGGAAUAGAAAAUCGAUUCAAAUUCUGGAAUCGAAUACUUAAGAUGAGGAAUCGGAUACUUGUUACAAAAUUAAAAUUGUAUUUCCUCUUAUCGAAUCUUUUGUGUGCAUUUUAAUAUGACUUUAAAACAUUCAUGCACAAGACCCACACGCUGUUUUCUGUGCUGCACACACAUCCAUAGCGCACUCACAAAAAAAGUGAUUUUAUACCAUUCACACACAAGAAGAUAGUAGCACCACACUCACCUUUGAAUCGCUGUUGUGAUAGAUAAUAAUAAUAAUGUCUCUUAUCCCUGCAGCUUUUCAACAUAUUGUUCUAUACAAAAGUGAAACCUCUGAGGAAGGAAUUGUUCUAAAAAAAGUUAAAGAUGCUGUUCGUUCUAAAACCGACCUUGAGGUGUGCAGAGCGAUCGGACCUGACGGUGGGUGGCACAGUGGAUUUGUAAGGGUUGACCUGUGCUAUUAUGAAAAAGACUGGGAAACUCAUCAAGCCAAAAGCUAUGAGGUUCUGGUUGAUCCGUGCGGAGGAAGUGGUUGGAAAUGGGUGGAGGGGGCAGAAGGAAACAUGUACACAUAUGACGAAUCGAGGAGGUUUCCAGGAGUCAAAUACUACGUGUUUUGAGGAGAAAUGGCUAUGUAGGGAAGCUUUUCAACACACGGAGUGGCUUUCUGUGCCAUUUUCCACUUGGCUCAUACACCCGGGAUGGAAGUUUCUAUGCUCUGGUUACACAACCAUGUUUGUGAAGACUCUUCACCAUGAUUCACGGUUCAGUGCUUAAGUUUCUCUAGUUCCUUUGAUUGGGUGGAGGUGCUGUAUUCAUCUUUCAAAAGACAGACUGAACCUAAAUGCACAGACGGAAAAUAGUAGCCAACUCUCACAAAACAUUUAUGCAACUGGUAUAAACACAUGCUUUUUGUUACUAAUUUUAUUUGGUUGCUUUUCAGCGGGAUCUUUUUAGGAUUAAAAAAAGUUCUAAAUUGUAUUAGCCAUUAACAUUUGAUGAAAGUGAGCAAGUGGAGUAUAUUUCCACCUGCAGGAUAUGUUAUGUAAGUUUGCAGAAACAUUCUGUGUUCUCUGCACAGUCAAUACUAUGAACUCAAUGCCAUAAUGUCCUUUGCUGCAAUAAUGAUGUAAGAUUUGGCAGUGUGCAAAUUCCAAUGAAAUAUAAAUGCUUCAAUAAACAUUACUAAAUUCACUUUUAUUGUCUUUCUUCAGUGUUACAGCUCAAAAUAAUAUUUGUGC
This 1902-nucleotide long non-coding RNA is filed under the name Sinocyclocheilus grahami. Its description in RNAcentral is "lncRNA (ENSSGRG00000002008.1)". The record is from RNAcentral. Lineage: Eukaryota; Metazoa; Chordata; Actinopteri; Cypriniformes; Cyprinidae.